This 2106-nucleotide ribosomal RNA is filed under the name Triticum aestivum (bread wheat). RNAcentral's name for it is "partial small subunit ribosomal RNA". Lineage: Eukaryota; Viridiplantae; Streptophyta; Magnoliopsida; Poales; Poaceae. The record is from RNAcentral.
AUGGAGGUCAUCCCAGCCGCGGCGGCAGCGCACGACGGGCAGAAGCAGAGGUUCGACCUCGGGGUCUUCGUCGGCGACCUCCCCCUGGACGACGACGACGCGGCCAGUGACAAUGAGUCGCUGGAGGGGCUGCAGCAGGAGCUCGAGGACUGCAAGAACGACCAGGAAGUAGCAAACAUCCUGGCUAAUGGCAUCAAGAUGCGUGAUUACACAAAAGGUGUCGAGAACAGCAUACGCCAAGUUGAGCUGGAUUCUAUACAGGAUUACAUUACAGAAAGUGAAAACCUAGUGUUGCUGCAUGAUCAGAUCUCUGACUGCGAUAAUAUUCUGUCACAAAUGGAAACCGUUCUAACUGGAUUCCAGACAGAAAUUGGUUCUAUAAGUUCAGAGAUAAAGGUACUUCAGGAGAAAUCUAUGGACAUGGGAUUAAAGUUGAGAAACCGUAAGGCUGCAGAAUCAAAACUGUCAAAAUUUGUUGAGGAUAUAAUAGUACCUCCAAGAAUGAUUGAUAUAAUUGUUGAUGGAGAGGUUAACGAUGAAUACAUGAAAACACUUGAGAUUCUAAGCAAAAAAAUCAAAUUCAUUGAAGCCGAUUCGAUGGUUAAAACAUCAAAGGCUCUCAAAGAUGUUCAGCCUGAGGUUGAGAGACUUCGGCAGAAAGCAGUAUCAAAGAUUUUUGAGUUUAUUAUCCAAAAGUUCUAUGCCUUGAGAAAACCAAAAACAAACAUUCAGAUUCUACAGCAGAGUGUCCUUAAAUACAAAUACACAAUUGUUUUCCUCAAGGAACAUGCUAAGGAGAUAUAUGCAGAAGUUCGCACGGCUUACAUUGAUACUAUGAAUAAGGUUCUGAGUGCACAUUUUCGUGCCUAUAUACAAGCUUUAGAGAAAUUACAGCUGGAUAUAGCAACCUCCACUGACUUACUUGGAGUUGAAACUAGAAGUACAGGAUACCUUUUCUCCAUUGGAAAGGAACCUCUGAAAGCCCGUUCUUCGGUGUUUGCUCUUGGUGAAAGAAUAAACGUCUUAAAGGAUAUUGAGCAGCCUGCAUUGAUACCUCAUAUAUCUGAAGCCAAGUCACAGAAGUAUCCAUAUGAAGUUCUUUUCAGAAGCUUACAAAAACUUCUGAUUGAUACAGCUACUUCUGAGUACCUUUUCUCGGAUGAUUUCUUUGGUGAAGAAUCUUUAUUCCAAGAUAUAUUUGCUGGACCAAUUCAAGUUGUCGAUGAAUAUUUCGAUGCUGUACUUCUGAACUGCUACGAUGCAAUAGGAAUAAUGCUUAUGAUUCGGAUAAUUCAUCAGCACCAGCUUAUCAUGUUUAAGCGGCGAAUUCCAUGUUUGGACUCUUACCUAGACAAGGUUAACAUGUCACUUUGGCCUCGCUUCAAGAUGGUCUUUGACUUGCAUUUGAGCAGCUUGCGGAAUGCUAAUAUUAAGACUCUUUGGGAGGAUGAUGUGCAUCCUCACUAUGUAACAAGAAGAUAUGCUGAAUUUACAGCGUCUCUUGUUCAUCUCAAUGUUGAAUAUGGGGAUGGUCAGCUUGAUCUAAAUCUUGAGCGAUUACGGAUGGCUAUUGAAGACUUGCUUGUUAAGUUGGCCAAGAUGUUCCCUAAACCAAAGAUGCAAACUGUUUUCCUGAUAAACAACUAUGAUUUAACAAUUGCCAUAUUGAAGGAAGCUGGCACUGAGGGUGGAAAAACACAACUUCACUUCGAGGAGGUUCUUAAGAGCAACAUUGCAAUAUAUGUGGAGGAAGUGCUUCUGGAGCAUUUCAGUGAUUUGAUCAAGUUUGUUAAAACGCGUACAUCGGAAGACCCUGCCUCGAGUUCGGACAAGGCCAACAUCGGCGACGUGGAGCCAUUGGUGAAGGAUUUCGCGAACCGAUGGAAGGCCGCGAUCGAGCUGAUGCACAAGGAUGUGAUCACAUCCUUCAGCAACUUCCUGUGCGGGAUGGAGAUCCUGAAGGCGGCCCUCACACAGCUGCUCCUGUACUACACGAGGCUGACCGAAUGCGUCAAGAGGGUCAACUGCGGCUCCGCGCUCAACAAGGACCUGGUCUCCAUAUCCUCCAUCCUGUACGAGAUCAAGAAAUACUCUAGGACCUUUUAG